ACAAGAAAAGAAUGCUGCAACGUCUCUCACUCUCUCUUGCUCGAUUUUUCUCCCUCUCUUCCCUUCUCUAUUCGUCGCCUCUCUCUUCCUCCACAUGAAGCACGCCGUCGAAGACGUCUCUGUGCCAGCGGAGAACAUGUCGUAGACAACUGCUCGCGGGUUCCUCAUCAGCUCCGCCAUCGCCCAGUCCAUCGCCGUCGACUGCUGCUGUUCUGGAGUUGGCCGCCGACUGCUGCUGUUCGUCGAGGAGUCCGUGACUGCUGCUGUUCGUCGAGGAGUCCGCUGACUGCUGCUGUUCGUCGAGGAGUCGCGGCUGUUGCUGCCGACAGAGGCCAUCUCGCCGUUUGGUGCCGCCGCCGUCGGCUGCCGCUGCCUCGCCCAAAACUGACUCCCGGAGUCGCCGUUCGUCGUAGCGAAGGUCUCGGCAGUUCGUCAUCUUCCCCGUUCGAAUUUGCUGAAGGACACGAAGAGGAGCCCAAAUUCUUCUCUCUUGAUUUGGGUCUCGAUCCGCCGCUGCCUCUACUCCGGUGGGUCGCCGUUCUUCAGUCUGGAGUCCGGCGAGGCAGCAUUCGACCGUCGUCGUUAACUUCGUCAUCUCGGCUCGACCGAACAGAACAGUCGGCCUCAGUUCCUGAGCAGGGCAGUAGCCCCGCUCCCUCUCAAUCAAGCUAAGUUAUAUCCUUGACUCGUCUUCUUCCUACCAUGUCUGAGUAUCGAUAAGCUUAAGCUUCUAUGAGUAAGAAAGAAUCAGGGUUUAACACUCUGUCAGUGAGCAUGCUAUCGCUAUCCUUGUUCGUUCAUUCAUGUGCUAUGUGUGAGGUCUCAUGGUUUGUGUUCUAGAGUGCAGUGGCAGUAUACACAUAAGUCUUUCUAUUGCUAUACAUAACAUGGACUGUUUGAUGUAGUGGUAAAACAUGAUUAUGCUCUUGGUAUGAAUGCAACUCGAUUGGAUAACUGAGGUAGUAUAAAUACCUUGAAUGAUGCUUGCUUUGGUGUUUGUUGGCUGUUGUGGUUGGAUUAAAUGAAGCAGCAGAUCGAACUGAAAUAAUAAAGUUGUUCUUGCAUUAAUGCAGGUGGAAUAAGGGAAGAAGGUGGAGCAUUGAAGACAAGCUUACCUUGAGAAUACUUGGUAGGAUGAAUUAAAGGCUCACUUCUCCUUGUGCAGUCCUCAAAUGAAGAAUGAAGAGAAUGCAACAAUGUUGGCUGUUUUGAAUGACGAGGUGGUUUGGCUGGGAGCUUGUAUACAUGGGAGGAGGUACAUUCUAGGGUGGCUGAUUGACAUAUUUAGGUGUACUUGGGCAUGGCAGCCUGCUGCAUAGGCGUGGGAAAAAAAAGGUGCAGCAAGCUCAAGAGGG
RNAcentral lists this long non-coding RNA (1355 nucleotides) under Salvia miltiorrhiza (redroot sage). RNAcentral's name for it is "long non-coding RNA (SMIL_LNC000500)". The record is from RNAcentral. Lineage: Eukaryota; Viridiplantae; Streptophyta; Magnoliopsida; Lamiales; Lamiaceae.